Molecule: long non-coding RNA, 288 nt
Organism: Pecten maximus
Lineage: Eukaryota; Metazoa; Mollusca; Bivalvia; Pectinida; Pectinidae
Exons: 3
Source: RefSeq, a predicted model, not a curated record
UACAUUACAUUCAACAGAGAUGUUUAGCAAGCUCAUAUGAAGCAUGCCCAUCAAGAGGUACACUGUUGAGCUAGCAGUAAUGUAAUGCAGAUUCCAUGAAUUCUCACUUUGAGGAGUAAUACCUAGGUUUGGCCAUUUUUGUGACUUAAAAUUAUUCCCUGCCACAUCUUAUCACAAAGUAACUUAUAAGAAGAAACUGUUGGCAUCUACAGCAAUUUAUUGAAGAUAUUGAGAAACUACAUGUCAAGACAAACAUUUUGGUAUAUUACAUGACAAGUUUUGUCCAAA